GGACUACCAGGGUUUCUAAUCCUGUUUGCUACCCACGCUUUCGCGUCUCAGCGUCAGUAUCCGGCCAGAUGGCCGCCUUCGCCACCGGUGUUCCUCCCCAUAUCUACGAAUUUCACCUCUACUUGGGGAAUUCCGCCAUCCUCUCCGGUACUCAAGCCACGCAGUUUCGGGCGCACUUCCUCGGUUGAGCCGAGGGCUUUCACACCCGACUUGCGUAGCCGCCUACACGCGCUUUACGCCCAAUAAUUCCGAACAACGCUUGCACCCUCUGUAUUACCGCGGCUGCUGGCAC
This 292-nucleotide ribosomal RNA is filed under the name uncultured bacterium. RNAcentral's name for it is "partial 16S ribosomal RNA". The record is from RNAcentral.